RNAcentral lists this ribosomal RNA (253 nucleotides) under uncultured bacterium. RNAcentral describes it as "partial 16S ribosomal RNA". It matches the Rfam family "Bacterial small subunit ribosomal RNA", at positions 524 to 776 of the family's 1533-position model. The record is from RNAcentral.
UACAGAGGUCUCAAGCGUUGUUCGGAUUCAUUGGGCGUAAAGGGUGCGUAGGCGGCGCGGUAAGUCGGGUGUGAAAUCUUGGAGCUUAACUCCGAAACUGCAUUCGAUACUGCCGUGCUUGAGGACUGGAGAGGAGACUGGAAUUUACGGUGUAGCGGUGAAAUGCGUAGAUAUCGGAAGGAACACCAGUGGCGAAAGCGACUUCCUGGUCCAAUACUGACGUUCAUGUGCGAAAGCGUGGGGAGCAAACAGG